CGCAACUUGCGCCCCUUGGUAUUCCGAGGGGCACGCCUGUCUGAGUGUCGUGAAUUCCUCCACUCACCAUCCUUUUUUGUGUUGGUUGAGCUGGGAUCUGGGGGUUUGUGGGGUCCCUCUGUGGUCCACUCCUCUUGAAUGCAUGAGUAAAGACCUGUAUAGGCCCCGGUGUGAUAGAUAUCUACGCCACGGCUCUAUGCGGAAUGGUGCUUUGCUUCGAACGGUCCCCUCUGUGGGACAAACUCGAUCGAACACUUGACCUCAGAUCAGGCGGGACUACCCGCUGAACUUAA
RNAcentral lists this unclassified non-coding RNA (293 nucleotides) under Baltazaria octopodites. RNAcentral's name for it is "partial contains 5.8S ribosomal RNA, internal transcribed spacer 2, and large subunit ribosomal RNA". The record is from RNAcentral. Lineage: Eukaryota; Fungi; Basidiomycota; Agaricomycetes; Agaricales.